Molecule: ribosomal RNA, 517 nt
Filed under: uncultured bacterium
Lineage: Bacteria
Description: bacterial SSU rRNA
Rfam family: Bacterial small subunit ribosomal RNA
Source: RNAcentral
GAUGAACGCUAGCGGGAAGCUUAACACAUGCAAGUCGAGGGGCAGCAUAGGGUAGCAAUACUCUGAUGGCGACCGGCAAACGGGUGAGUAACGCGUAUGCAACCUACCCUGGUACAGGGGGAUAACCCGGAGAAAUUCGGACUAAUAUCCCCGUAAUAAUAUCCGGAGGCAUCUUUGGAUAUUUAAAGUUUCGACGGUACGGGAUGGGCAUGCGUAACAUUAGCUGGUUGGUAAGGUAACGGCUUACCAAGGCUAUGAUGUUUAGGGGUCCUGAGAGGGUGGUCCCCCACACUGGUACUGAGACACGGACCAGACUCCUACGGGAGGCAGCAGUGAGGAAUAUUGGUCAAUGGGCGCAAGCCUGAACCAGCCAUCCCGCGUGCAGGAAGACGGCCCUAGUGGGUUGUAAACUGCUUUUCCAGGGAGAGAAACUUACGCACGUGUUGCGUGACUGACGGUACCCUGGGAAUAGCAUCGGCUAACUCCGUGCCAGCAGCCGCGGUAAUAGUGUGUGUAC